RNAcentral lists this long non-coding RNA (342 nucleotides) under Lathyrus oleraceus (garden pea). RNAcentral describes it as "Pisum sativum (pea) long non-coding RNA (PSAT_LNC000314)". The record is from RNAcentral. Lineage: Eukaryota; Viridiplantae; Streptophyta; Magnoliopsida; Fabales; Fabaceae.
AGAGAAGAAAAAUGAGAUAUACUUCCAUUAAGGAAGUACGCGUCAAAGCAUAGUACCAUAGAACAAUCACAUAUAUCAAUCGGAGAUUUACAUCUUUCAUAAUUGACAAUUUUUUAUAUUUCUAUCUUUUUAUUUUCAUGUUGGUUUUAAUCUAAAAUUUCUUCAUUAGACCAUUUUAUUAGUUUGUGUCUUUAUUGAACCAGACUCACUGCGGGUCCGUUUAAAAAUGAAGAAUACUUCUAGAAUGACAUUAAUGAAUCUGUAAUAUCCCAUAUACUCUUAAAUGCUUAAUUGCUUGUCAUUUGAAACCAACUAUAUUCCUAUGUGCUCUAUCUCUUGUCA